GGGCUUGUGGUUUAGUGGUAUAAUACUCCCUUAGCAUCUCUGGUUCAUCUGGAAUACGACUGGGAGUGGUCCGGGGUUCGAUUCCCCGCGAGUCCA
Pyrenochaeta sp. MPI-SDFR-AT-0127 is the source of this 96-nucleotide non-coding RNA. Lineage: Eukaryota; Fungi; Ascomycota; Dothideomycetes; Pleosporales; Cucurbitariaceae. The record is from the annotation of a GenBank genome assembly.